AGAGCGAACGCUGGCGGCAGGCCUAACACAUGCAAGUCGAGCGCCCGUAGCAAUACGGGAGCGGCAGACGGGAUAGUAACACGUGGGAACGCGCCCUUCGGUUCGGAAUAACUCAGGGAAACUUGAGCUAAUACCGAAUACGCCCUUACGGGGAAAGAUUUAUUGCCGAAGGAACGGCCCGCGUCCGAUUAGCUAGUUGGUGAGGUAAUGGCUCACCAAGGCUACGAUCGGUAGCUGGUCUGAGAGGAUGACCAGCAUCACUGGGACUGAGACACGGCCCAGACUCCUACGGGAGGCAGCAGUGGGGAAUAUGGACAAUGGGGGCAACCCUGAUCCAGCCAUGCCGCGUGAGUGAUGAAGGCCUUCGGGUUGUAAAGCUCUUUUGGCGGGACGAUGAUGACGGUACCCGCAGAAUAAGCCCCGGCUAACUUCGUGCCAGCAGCCGC
RNAcentral lists this ribosomal RNA (446 nucleotides) under uncultured bacterium. Its description in RNAcentral is "SSU rRNA". It matches the Rfam family "Bacterial small subunit ribosomal RNA", at positions 26 to 518 of the family's 1533-position model. The record is from RNAcentral.